ACCGCACGAGCGGUGGAUGAUGUGGAUUAAUUCGAUGCAACGCGAAAACCUUACCACCUUUGACAUGUACGGAAUCCUUUAGAGAUAGAGGAGUGCUCGAAAGAGAGCCGUAACACAGGUGCUGCAUGGCUGUCGUCAGCUCGUGUCGUGAGAUGUUGGGUUAAGUCCCGCAACGAGCGCAACCCUUGUCAUUAGUUGCUACAUUCAGUUGGGCACUCUAAUGAGACUGCCGGUGACAAACCGGAGGAAGGUGGGGAUGACGUCAAGUCCUCAUGGCCCUUAUAGGUGGGGCUACACACGUCAUACAAUGGAUGGUACAAAGGGUCGCCAACCCGCGAGGGGGAGCCAAUCCCAUAAAGCCAUUCGUAGUCCGGAUCGCAGUCUGCAACUCGACUGCGUGAAGUCGGAAUCGCUAGUAAUCGUGGAUCAGAAUGUCACGGUGAAUACGUUCCCGGGUCUU
This 460-nucleotide ribosomal RNA is filed under the name uncultured Acidovorax sp. RNAcentral describes it as "bacterial SSU rRNA". It matches the Rfam family "Bacterial small subunit ribosomal RNA", at positions 920 to 1382 of the family's 1533-position model. Lineage: Bacteria; Pseudomonadati; Pseudomonadota; Betaproteobacteria; Burkholderiales; Comamonadaceae. The record is from RNAcentral.